This is a long non-coding RNA of Panicum virgatum (switchgrass), 2460 nucleotides long. RefSeq lists it as uncharacterized. The transcript has 2 exons. The record is from RefSeq and is a predicted model, not a curated record. NCBI's taxonomy places the organism in Eukaryota, Viridiplantae, Streptophyta, Magnoliopsida, Poales, Poaceae.
GCCGCCGUGCGCCGGUGAAUCCACCGCGGCCGCCGUCCGCCCUUCCGCUCCACGCUCGCCGCGGCCCCCGUCACGGUCCACGCCGGGAUGUGGUGCCCGAUGAGCGGUGGUGGCGCGCGCGAGCUGCCCAAGAAGGUGACCUUCAUCUCCGCGUACAGGAUCGUGCCUCCUCCGGUCUGCCGUGCGGAGGGCUAUAACGAGGGGCUGAGCGUGCGUCGCCGCCACGGUGCCUGCCGCGGCGCGUGCUCGCCAAAUCCGGUGGGGGAAGACGGCGCAGCAGUUGAGCUGGCGGCCGGGGGGUGGGCUCACUCUUCCAAUGCCGUUUUCAGCGAUUCCAUGUGCAAUGUUGCAAUGGCGGCGCCGGCAAUGACGUGUUAUUGGAGUGCAGCGGCCAGUAGGGUUCGAUCCUGCAUUCCUGCCCCUAGCAGCGAUGCUAGACCAGGUGUUCGUGGCGAUGUCCACCAGCGCCGGGCGGUGGUCCGCGCUGUUCUGUCCUUGUUACAUGAGAUCGACGCGCUUGUCUGACUCGAGGUAUGGACUCGUUCUUUGGCUAUAUGGAAUAGUGUACUUAACUGUUAUUUUGUUGGGCAAAGCUCACCCCCUGACUGUGCUGCAGAUUGAGAGGAAAUGUAGGUUAGCUGUUCGAGCUAAUGCUUGAGUAGCCGUCAGUAUAUUUGUUGAUUAGAUGUUGUCUUCCUAAUUGAAAAUUUCAACUAACAUGAAUUCUGACUACUAAUUUGGACAGAUGAUUUUGCCAGUGCCCUUCUUCAUGGCGGGCAUCAGUGAGAUUGCUCUUGUUGCUUGCAGCAUUAUGAUAAAUCAAUGGUGUGUUCAAAGUUCGCAUCUUUCUGAAAUUUGUUGUGCUACUACUUCUUAUCUAAAGAAACUUUUGAAAGUCAGUACAAGAAUAGUUCUUACUGGAUGGCUUUGUAAUAUCAUUGAAGAGGAUGUCAAGCACUUCCAUUCUGUAUAUCUCCUUCACUUGGUCAAAACAUAAAUAUAAGUCCAAUUAUGCUUUAUAUUUUUUUUUGUUUGAAAGUAGCAUGUUCAAGGUGACAUUUCUUUAGUUCCUAUGUGUGUUUGUUGAAUGUGAACAUAUCAGGUGCAAACCAACCCCUCCGUGCAAACCAUGCAAACUUUAACCUGGGCCAUCGGAUCAACAUCCAAGGGGAGGAGCGCAGGAGGUGGGAGGGGGGAUUUGCAAAAGUGUGAUUACCCAAUCCAAGGGCGGACGGUUAAUUGUAAAAUUACCCAAUCCCCCAUGUCCUUGGAUGUUGAUCCGGUGGUCCAGAUUGAAGUUUGCACGGUUUGCACGGAAAGGUUAGUUUGCACCUGAUAUAUUCCCUUGUUGGAUAACUCAUUUGUGUUCUAUUAUUGGACCCUUACAGGUUUAGAAACAAUUAUGUGAUAAAUUUGAUCCUAUAUUUAAGAAAAUGAUGCAGUGACUACUUUUAUAUCAAGGUUAGUUUGUUCAGCUGUUCAUAUUAUGUUAUUGACUAUCGUAAUAUUUUUAAUUGUCAAUUUUCUUGUUGCUGACACAUGGCAAGUCUCAUGGUUGUGUUGAUCCAGACAUCUGAAAAGCACUAUUAUGUUGGCCUUCUAAUUGAGUGUUGUGCACUAGAUAGCUAUCAUGCUUGUCUGGUUGCAAGAUGAAGUCGUGGAGAUGAUUAUUCAUGUUUGACUGCAGCAUCAUAGUGAACGACAUGGGAGGGGUGGAAUUCUUUUGAUGAUCAGUAUUAUUAGAAAAUUCUCCUUCUGUUUGCUACAGUAAAGCUCACACCAUCUCGCGGUGGGCUGGAGGUGCUGGUCAUGGGUUCCGGUGGCUCUGUGGCCACCUGCCACGGUAGCAGAGGGGUUGUGCCUGAUGCCGCGAUGCCACACUUCACUGGUUCUAUGUCCGCACCCUGAAGCAUGAGGUAAUCCUCUAUUAUGCUUCUCGAACUAGCCUUGGAAUGUUAGUUGUGAUGAGGAUUUUGUGGGUGAGUUUUCUGUUUGUUACCCAGUUGUUAUGCUUGAGAAAAAUGCAUGAGAAUUAUGUAGACAAAUAAUGCACGAUUGAUUCUUAGUAUCUUCAUAAAAAGCAUAUUCCAGAUUAUGUUUUUCUAAAAAGAAUGGGCAGACGCAAUAUAUUAGCUUGGCUGUCACAAGGUGCAUCCGCUGAAAUCAAUUAUGCUCUUAUCCUCCCAGUUAUUGUUGUACUCAAGAUACUUUGGGGAAAAUUUGAUGUAGCUCCAACAGUAAUUCCUGUGCUUAAAGAAUUUUUUUCUUUUUUUUUAGUGUGGUGGACGAAAGAAACAUUCUGAUUCGUUGCAAUGUGGACAACUUUUUUUGUUCCUUUUCUUGAAUAAUUCAAAUCAUCAGGCAAUGAGGGAUACUGAUAGCUGUGAGUUAGAUUGUGUACUUUUCAAAUUCUGUUAUUCCAUUUCUAAAUAUAGAGAGUGAAUGCUGUUGAAAUUUAAA